This is a non-coding RNA of Oryza sativa Japonica Group (Japanese rice), 510 nucleotides long. The record is from RefSeq and is a predicted model, not a curated record. Lineage: Eukaryota; Viridiplantae; Streptophyta; Magnoliopsida; Poales; Poaceae.
CUGGUUAACCGGCCGGCCCAUAUCGGUUCUCAGGCCCAUGGCCUCUUUUAUCCCAACGCGAGCGCCUGAAUUUGUUAGCCCACAAGCUCCCACAUCUGUUGGUUCGUGCAACGAUGAACCGACUGCCGAGACGGCGGUCGGCGGCGCUCCCCCCUUCUCCCUGCAGCGAUCUGUCGUCUGCGGCGGCCGGAGCUAGGAUCCCUCUCCGGACGACGACGCGGGCAUCGGAGAGGCAUGCAUGCGGGUUGCCCUGCGAGGAUAUGUUGCUACCUCAUCAGGAUCGCGAUCGAGGAGUGAGAGCGGCUGGCCGCGGGGAUGGGCGGAUUCUGCCGUUGAUCAGGUUCGAUAGUGGUGGGACGUGUGUUUUGCGUCUGAUUUUCCUUUACCUUCCCAUUCAAGCGCUUCCUUUACAAGUUAAAGUUUCUGUAGUUUGAGGACAAAAAAUGAGCAACGUUAAUUGUUGUAGUCAUCGUAUCCGGUUAAUCUUACAUGCCGAAAUUUGGAUACUAA